RNAcentral lists this long non-coding RNA (452 nucleotides) under Prunus dulcis (almond). Its description in RNAcentral is "sRNA ncRNA". The record is from RNAcentral. Lineage: Eukaryota; Viridiplantae; Streptophyta; Magnoliopsida; Rosales; Rosaceae.
GGCUUUUUAUUUAAAACACCCUAGUGGACUUAUUCACUAACAUAAAAGGAAAAGACAAGAAGAGGGGAGGGGAGGAGGUGCAAUGACGCUUCUUCCUUCUCCCCCUUCUAUGGAGUUUUCCUUUAGGACUCACAGAGGGAGAGAGAGACUAGGGUUUUUUCUCUACCAAGCCCUGGCAGGUCCGAAGGCAGCUCGAGCUGGUGCGUGAGGGUGCUCUUAGUUCUGCCCUAUGCCUCAAGAUUGUCUUCUACGUGAAUUGAACCCAGGUGCACUGAAAGGGAGAGGGAGAAUUUGACCCAACUUUUUCACUGUGGUGCCACCCAUGUUGACUGGUAUUUAGUCUAUAAAUAUAUAUUGAGCUCGAUGUCAUGGAUUUAUUUUAUACCUUUUGUUUCUAUAAAUGAGUGUUUGCUCUGAUUUAUCUAUUACUAGAGUUCUCUCUUAAUUUGUGA